RNAcentral lists this transfer RNA (72 nucleotides) under Bos taurus (domestic cattle). It matches the Rfam family "tRNA". Rfam says of the family: Transfer RNA (tRNA) molecules are approximately 80 nucleotides in length. Their secondary structure includes four short double-helical elements and three loops (D, anti-codon, and T loops). The record is from Rfam by way of RNAcentral. RNAcentral also lists the same sequence under 1 other name. Lineage: Eukaryota; Metazoa; Chordata; Mammalia; Artiodactyla; Bovidae.
UCCCUGGUGGCUCAGAUGGUAAAGCAUCUGCCUGCAAUGCUGGAGAACAGGGUUCAAUCCCUGGGUGGGGAA